This 472-nucleotide long non-coding RNA is filed under the name Rattus norvegicus (Norway rat). RNAcentral describes it as "long non-coding RNA NONRATT005200". Lineage: Eukaryota; Metazoa; Chordata; Mammalia; Rodentia; Muridae. The record is from RNAcentral.
AACCCUGUUUCCACCCCCCUCCCCAUUUCAAACAUCGCUUUAUUUCUGCUGUGGAUUCUCUCCUGGCCCAAGGCCUUCAUGCUACAUGAGCAGACCCAGAACUGAGACCAGCCCAGAAGCACAGGCCACUUUCUGCUGCUGAGAAAUCCUCUUCCUUCCCAGGGCACAGACAUGCCUGCAAGAGAUGUGGGAAAUCAGUCGUGAGAAGUUGUAAUUAAUGAUCUUCUGGGUCUUGGCACUUAAGGAAACAGAAGACCACCAGGGACUGGAGCAGCCUGUUGGAUAAGAGUUGUCCUCAGGGAAGGCCUCUCUCUUAGGAAAGAGGGAGACUUUGGAAGGCGAGCAGAAGGAUUUGGGUGGCAGGGUCUCUGCAGCUUUCAAGGCUGGUACUCAUUUGCUUACCUUUGCAUCAGAACAGAAGUAACCUGAGUCUUGGACCCUGGUACUUGAGAGAAGCCAUCCUGGUCUAAGG